This 292-nucleotide ribosomal RNA is filed under the name uncultured bacterium. RNAcentral's name for it is "partial 16S ribosomal RNA". It matches the Rfam family "Bacterial small subunit ribosomal RNA", at positions 505 to 796 of the family's 1533-position model. The record is from RNAcentral.
GUGCCAGCAGCCGCGGUAAUACAGAGGGUGCGAGCGUUGUCCGGAAUCACUGGGCGUAAAGGGCGCGUAGGUGGCUUGCCAAGCGUGUGGUGAAAGCCCGGAGCUCAACUCCGGGUCUGCCAUGCGAACUGGCAGGCUUGAGCACGGUAGAGGCCAAUGGAAUUCCGGGUGUAGCGGUGGAAUGCGUAGAGAUCCGGAAGAACACCGGUGGCGAAGGCGGUUGGCUGGGCCGUAGCUGACACUGAGGCGCGACAGCGUGGGGAGCAAACAGGAUUAGAAACCCUCGUAGUCC